UGCAAGUCGAACGCUUUUUCUUUCACCGGAGCUUGCUCCACCGAAAGAAAAGGAGUGGCGAACGGGUGAGUAACACGUGGGUAACCUGCCCAUCAGAAGGGGAUAACACUUGGAAACAGGUGCUAAUACCGUAUAACAAUCGAAACCGCAUGGUUUCGGUUUGAAAGGCGCUUUUGCGUCACUGAUGGAUGGACCCGCGGUGCAUUAGCUAGUUGGUGAGGUAACGGCUCACCAAGGCAACGAUGCAUAGCCGACCUGAGAGGGUGAUCGGCCACAUUGGGACUGAGACACGGCCCAAACUCCUACGGGAGGCAGCAGUAGGGAAUCUUCGGCAAUGGACGCAAGUCUGACCGAGCAACGCCGCGUGAGUGAAGAAGGUUUUCGGAUCGUAAAACUCUGUUGUUAGAGAAGAACAAGGAUGAGAGUAGAACGUUCAUCCCUUGACGGUAUCUAACCAGAAAGCCACGGCUACUCUGCCAGCAGCCGCGGUAUACGUAGGUGGCAAG
RNAcentral lists this ribosomal RNA (506 nucleotides) under Enterococcus avium. Its description in RNAcentral is "bacterial SSU rRNA". It matches the Rfam family "Bacterial small subunit ribosomal RNA", at positions 56 to 538 of the family's 1533-position model. Lineage: Bacteria; Bacillati; Bacillota; Bacilli; Lactobacillales; Enterococcaceae. The record is from RNAcentral.